AAACGUAGGAGGCGAACGUUAUCCGGAUUUACUGGGCGUAAAGCGCGCGCAGGCGGCUUCGUAAGUCCGACGUGAAAGCUCCCGGCUCAACUGGGAGAGGUCGUCGGAUACUGUGGAGCUUGAGGGUAGGAGUGGGAAGUGGAAUUCCCGGUGUAGCGGUGGAAUGCGUAGAUAUCGGGAGGAACUCCAGUGGCGAAGGCGACUUCCUGGCCUACACCUGACGCUGAGGCGCGAAAGCGUGGGGAGCGAACAGGAUUAGAUACCCUAGUAGUCC
Molecule: ribosomal RNA, 274 nt
Filed under: uncultured bacterium
Lineage: Bacteria
Description: partial 16S ribosomal RNA
Rfam family: Bacterial small subunit ribosomal RNA
Source: RNAcentral